UACGUAGGGUGCGAGCGUUGUCCGGAAUUAUUGGGCGUAAAGAGCUUGUAGGCGGUUUGUCGUGUCUGCCGUGAAAGCCCAGGGCUUAACCCUGGGUCUGCGGUGGGUACGGGCAGACUAGAGUGUGGUAGGGGAGACUGGAAUUCCUGGUGUAGCGGUGAAAUGCGCAGAUAUCAGGAGGAACACCGAUGGCGAAGGCAGGUCUCUGGGCCACUACUGACGCUGAGAAGCGAAAGCAUGGGGAGCAAACAGG
This 253-nucleotide ribosomal RNA is filed under the name uncultured bacterium. RNAcentral's name for it is "partial 16S ribosomal RNA". It matches the Rfam family "Bacterial small subunit ribosomal RNA", at positions 524 to 776 of the family's 1533-position model. The record is from RNAcentral.